GUCAGGAUGGUCCGAGCGGUCUAAGCGCUGCGUUCAGGUCGCAGUCUCCCCUGGAGGCGUGGGUUCGAAUCCCACUUCUGACA
Molecule: transfer RNA, 83 nt
Filed under: Merluccius polli (Benguela hake)
Lineage: Eukaryota; Metazoa; Chordata; Actinopteri; Gadiformes; Merlucciidae
Rfam family: tRNA
About the family: Transfer RNA (tRNA) molecules are approximately 80 nucleotides in length. Their secondary structure includes four short double-helical elements and three loops (D, anti-codon, and T loops).
Source: Rfam by way of RNAcentral